GGGCUGAUAGUUUAGACUGGUAGAAUACCCGCCUUGCACGCGGGGGGUCAGGGGUUCAAAUCCCCUUCAGUCCACCA
RNAcentral lists this transfer RNA (77 nucleotides) under Nitrosopumilaceae archaeon. Its description in RNAcentral is "tRNA-Ala". It matches the Rfam family "tRNA". From Rfam's summary of the family: Transfer RNA (tRNA) molecules are approximately 80 nucleotides in length. Their secondary structure includes four short double-helical elements and three loops (D, anti-codon, and T loops). Lineage: Archaea; Thermoproteati; Nitrososphaerota; Nitrososphaeria; Nitrosopumilales; Nitrosopumilaceae. RNAcentral also lists the same sequence under 1 other name. The record is from RNAcentral.